Molecule: ribosomal RNA, 830 nt
Filed under: uncultured eukaryote
Lineage: Eukaryota
Description: bacterial SSU rRNA
Rfam family: Eukaryotic small subunit ribosomal RNA
Source: RNAcentral
AGUCUAAGUAUAAGCUUUUUAUACGGCAAAACUGCGAAUAGCUCAUUACAACAGUUAUAAUCUACACGAAGAUCAUUACCAAAUGGAUAUCCAUGGUAAUUCUGGAGCUAAUACAUGCAAAGACACCCAACUUCGUAGAAGGGUGGCAUUCAUUAGCAUUGGAACCAACCAGACGGCAACGUCUGUUUUUGGUGAUCAUAAUGACCGAGCAGAUCGCAUCUUGCGACAGUUCGUUCGAGUUUCUGACCUAUCAGCUCCCGUCGGUAGGGUAUUGGCCUACCGAGGCUGUGACGGGUAACGGGGAAUUAGGGUUCGAUUCCGGAGAGGGAGCCUGAGAAACGGCUACCACAUCUAAGGAUGGCAGCAGGCGCGCAAAUUACCCAAUCCCGAUACGGGGAGGUAGUGACCAGAAAUAGCAACUCAGGACCUUUUGGUUCUGUGAUUGCAAUGAGCGGAAAGCAAAACUAUUUGCGAGUACCUAUUGGAGGGCAAGUCUGGUGCCAGCAGCCGCGGUAAUUCCAGCUCCAAUAGCGUAUAUUAAAAUUGCUGCAGUUAAAGCGUCCGUAGUUGGAUUUCGUCCAAAUCGGAGGGACGCCUGUUUGUCCUCGUGUCAAUCAGUGCACCUUCUGUUUCGGACUCGGGUGGGAUAGCUUCGGCUGUACUGCUCUGUUACUUUGAGCAAAUUGGAGUGCUCCAACCAGGCUAUAGCUUAAACAGCUCAGCAUGGAAUAACAAUAUAGGACUGUGAUCCUCCUUGUUGGUGACAUGGAACACAAGUAAUGGUUGAUAGGGACAUACGGGGGCAUCCGUACUUGCUGGAGAGAGGUGAA